GUACAAUAGGAGUAUAAUCACUAUAGAUAAUUUAUGUAACAUUCAUAAUAAAUAUAUAAUAAUAAGUGCUGAAAAGGUCAAUAGUUGACGGAAACAUUGUUUGUUGUUGAGUGAGUACAGACAAUGUAAUCCUUCAAGUAGUCCUAGGAAAUGAAGAAUACACAGCAAAUUGAGGAGUGUUAAUUUUUUGGUGUUGAUGAGAAUCUUGAAGUUGGAGUGUGAAUUUUACACUAUUUGGAGUUGAUCUAACACUGCAUUUUCUUAAAAAUGUUAAAUUUAACACUGGAUCAUGAAAGUGUUGUAGUUAAAAUGGAGUGUUGAAAAUGUUCAAAUCUUGUUAGUGUCACAAUAAAGACAUUCAACACUUCCACACUCCAUUUAACACCUAACAGUGUUCACUGUCUUAAGCUCCGCCCACGGACAUUUCAUUUAGACUCCACCACUCACUUCACGUUGCUGAAAUGAAAAGCAGAUGGAAGAAGUUGACAAUUAGGAAUCAUUUUGCAUCAGUAGUGUUGCUGUGAGCUGAAUCGGCACUGCCUGUGCAACAUUUGGCAAAGUAAGUGAACGCUACGUUACAUCUUCAUUAUACUGUCUUCAUUUUGAAUAAGCUAAUGGCUAACUAGCUAAUUAGCACGAGGAGCCCCCACAUGUAGGCCUGCUGGCCCCCAGCAAAGGACUUGAUAUGCUGUACAAGAUACAAGAUAUCAAGGUUGGGCAACUGUAAUUGUUACUUUAACUUAAAAAUAAUUGUCAGGCGUGUGUUGGAAGUGAACUACACAAUUUUUUUUUAGAAUGAUGCAUCUUUAUUUUUCUUCUUGAUUCACAGAAAACCUUUGCUGGAGUCUUACAUGAAUGUGAGGUGGAUGGAGAUGUGUAGACUCCACUAUCCCUUCACCCCAGUUAUCGCCAGUGGUGGUGAGCCUCCACUCUUGCCGACUACAUCCCAUUCAUUGGGUUCAACAAUUUAUCCUUCAGCCCACAAGAGGAACCCAACAGAACCAAUGGAUCAGGAUGAAGCAUGACAGAAAGUCGGUGGUGUUUUGAGGGCCAAUCCGAAAGGUGAGGAAAUCUUCAAGGAGUGCAACAAGACUGAAACACUAACCGAUGCAAGGUGUAAACAGAUGGUGAACAUCCUGGUUGCAGAUAUGAUGGAGCUGCAUGGGAGGGUUCCGCCAUCAUGUGUGAUGAGAAAUUACGCCCUGAGAAUUGUGACUUGUUUUCCAUACCUCAAAGAUCCAUUCUCCAAACCUGGAUAUGAUGCUUAGCUUAGCUGCAGUGGCUCAAGAGGUAGAGCAGGUCGUCCAGAAAUCGUAAGGUUGGUUCGAUCCUUGCGCCCAGUCACUGUUGUGUCCUACACGGCUCUCAAAGCCGUUCCAAGACUGUUUCUUCAUGAUGGUCCAAAAACCAGAGGAGAAUAUCUGUUAACUGGUCAACAGCUGUUUGGUGAGGAGUGCAGGGAGGGGCUAUCUACAAUAAGACAUUCAACCGAUGAAUCCGUGGUCAAAGAAGAUGAGAGCAACUUUCCAGUAUUGACAGAAUAUGAUCCAAGCGGAAGAUGUAUCAUCGUCUGUCCUUGAUGUGUUCACUCGCUUCCUUGAUGUUCCAGGAUUGGAUUUCUCAAUGAUGUUUGCUGAUGAAGUAUCUCAGAGGUUCCUGGCUAAGUGGUCAACUGUCUUCAAAGCAGAAGUCAUUGCAGACUGCAAGACUCUCCCGCAAAAGCGGAACAUUGAUGAGAUGCUGUCAGGAACUGAACCUCAACCUGAUGACAGCUGUGGCUGGGGCAGUGAUACAUCCUCCAUCCUUCUACUCCUGCAUCUGCUCCCUCUGACCUCUAGAGGCCAGGAAAAAAAACAGCAAAGAUCAGUUUGUCAAGCAGCCAACCAUCUUCUCAGAUAUCUUAAGGAAGGAGCCAGUGUGACCCCCUUCCAAGACUGUUGACUCAAGACAAGCAUUUCUCCUCUGCAUCAGUGAGCGAAGGUGACAUCCAGAGGGUUUGCAUGAUUGACCAAAAGCCGAUUACAUGCAAGGCAUAUACAUUUAUUGCAGCUUUUGAUGAAAUGUUCAAAGCUCACUAUGUCUUCAGUCUCUCGUAUGGUUAAAAAUGGAUAAGAGCAAACAUUUGGGUCUGAAUGCUGCCCAGUCAUGGUGUCUUCUAUGUAACACUCCACUUCUAUUUGGUGAUGGCAUUGAAAGGAAGAAUGAUCACUGGAACUUCCUCCUCCUUUUGAUGCAGAUUGUCAACAUACCUGUAGUGUUCUCCUACACCAUAACUGAUGGAAUGAUCCUUUACUUGAAACAUCUGAUAAGUGACCCCCACACUCGGUACAAAGCAUUGCUUCCUGGUAAGAAGUUGAUUCCCAAGCACCGCUUGAUGAUACACUAUCCAAGAUGCAUACAAAAAAUUGGCCCUCUUUUCCAGACGUGGUGAAUGCGUUUUUGAAGCCAAACACAAUUUUUUCAAAAGGAGUGGUUAAAAUUUUUAAAAAUCUCAGCCGUUUGUCGUGGCCUUUCACUAUGAAAAUUAUUAUUUUAGAAGAUUUGAAUUUGGCCCUACAUCAAAAACAAUCUGCAACUUGAAAGGAGGGGAGGAGCGUGGUCAGGCAUGAUGUCUGCAAGCAUCUUCAAGUGUGUCAAGUACCAACUGGGUGAGAAGUUACGGUAUAGAGCACCAUGUUGGUGUGUUCAUAUGUACUGGAUGUAGCUUUGAUCUACCUGUGUUCAAGAAGAUCUGUGAUAUAAUAAAACACAAAGAAUGUGCUUUCAUAAUAGCUGUAAUGUAGAAACAAUGUACUAUGAUGACCCGUUUAACGCGUACUGCAAAGAAGACCAAAUGCUUGAGUUUUCUGUCAUGUGUUUAAAUGAACUGACUCAUUUCAGACCAUUUGACAAGCAGUGCUCUAAUGACAAGUGUCAAGGAGCAUACAUACUGUAGUGCCUGCUGUUAUUUAAGCUACUGUCUGUUGGAAAUGAAAUGUUUUUGAAUAAAAUGUAUGAAGCAGUCAACUAGUCAUUUUUUAAAAAAUUUUAAAUUUUAUUUUGAAGUAGUAUAUUAACACUUUUAUAGUGUUAAUGUUGCAACUCCUUUUGAGAGUAAAAUGACACUAUAAGAGUCAAUAAAUGACUCUUAAGAGAAUUAAUUUGUGACACCUCACACUAGUGUUAAAAAAAUGCAACACCGGUUGGUGUCGAGGAGUGUUAAAUUUUAACUAUAUAAAUAGUUAAUAUUGACUCUACAAUGGUGUAAAAAUGCCUACACUUUCAAAAGUGUUAAAAUAACACUUUGUAGAG
Molecule: long non-coding RNA, 3291 nt
Organism: Dunckerocampus dactyliophorus (ringed pipefish)
Lineage: Eukaryota; Metazoa; Chordata; Actinopteri; Syngnathiformes; Syngnathidae
Exons: 9
Source: RefSeq, a predicted model, not a curated record